GACGAAAGUCUGAUGGAGCAACGCCGCGUGAGCGAAGAAGGCCUUCGGGUCGUAAAGCUCUGUUGUUAGGGAAGAACAAGUAUCGGAGUAACUGCCGGUACCUUGACGGUACCUAACCAGAAAGCCACGGCUAACUACGUGCCAGCAGCCGCGGUAAUACGUAGGUGGCAAGCGUUGUCCGGAAUUAUUGGGCGUAAAGCGCGCGCAGGCGGUCCUUUAAGUCUGAUGUGAAAGCCCACGGCUCAACCGUGGAGGGUCAUUGGAAACUGGGGGACUUGAGUGCAGAAGAGGAAAGCGGAAUUCCACGUGUAGCGGUGAAAUGCGUAGAGAUGUGGAGGAACACCAGUGGCGAAGGCGGCUUUCUGGUCUGUAACUGACGCUGAGGCGCGAAAGCGUGGGGAGCAAACAGGAUUAGAUACCCUGGUAGUCCACGCCGUAAACGAUGAGUGCUAAGUGUUAGGGGGUUUCCGCCCCUUAGUGCUGCAGCUAACGCAUUAAGCACUCCGCCUGGGGAGUAC
This 518-nucleotide ribosomal RNA is filed under the name uncultured bacterium. Its description in RNAcentral is "bacterial SSU rRNA". It matches the Rfam family "Bacterial small subunit ribosomal RNA", at positions 374 to 883 of the family's 1533-position model. The record is from RNAcentral.